UUCCGCUGGGAAUGUCGGCAAUGAAAAGAUAUUGAAGCUUAAGAGAGCAAAUCCAGUGGCGCUUCUUCUGUCGUCAGCAAUGAUGCUGAGACAUCUUGAAUUUCCGUCAUAUGCUGAUCGUUUAGAAACUGCUGUAAGACAUGUAAUAGAAGAGGGAAAAUUCAGGACAAAGGAUGUUGGAGGGGAUAGCACCACCCAAGAAGUUGUUGAUGCAAUUAUAGCUGCUUUAGACUAAUCGGAAUUGACAGUCGUCAAGUUUUUAGGAGAAUUAUUCACUGUCCAGAGAUCUACUUGGCCUAUUUUUUGCACAGCUGCAAUUUUGUUUUAACUUUCUG
RNAcentral lists this unclassified non-coding RNA (335 nucleotides) under Hevea brasiliensis (rubber tree). Lineage: Eukaryota; Viridiplantae; Streptophyta; Magnoliopsida; Malpighiales; Euphorbiaceae. The record is from RNAcentral.